Molecule: ribosomal RNA, 492 nt
Filed under: uncultured bacterium
Lineage: Bacteria
Description: partial 16S ribosomal RNA
Rfam family: Bacterial small subunit ribosomal RNA
Source: RNAcentral
AGUGAACGCUGGCGGUAGGCCUAACACAUGCAAGUCGAACGGCAGCACAGUAAGAGCUUGCUCUUACGGGUGGCGAGUGGCGGACGGGUGAGGAAUACAUCGGAAUCUACUUUUUCGUGGGGGAUAACGUAGGGAAACUUACGCUAAUACCGCAUACGACCUACGGGUGAAAGCAGGGGAUCUUCGUACCUUGCGCGAUUGAAUGAGCCGAUGUCGGAUUAGCUAGUUGGCGGGGUAAAGGCCCACCAAGGCGACGAUCCGUAGCUGGUCUGAGAGGAUGAUCAGCCACACUGGAACUGAGACACGGUCCAGACUCCUACGGGAGGCAGCAGUGGGGAAUAUUGGACAAUGGGCGCAAGCCUGAUCCAGCCAUACCGAGUGGGUGAAGAAGGCCUUCGGGUUGUAAAGCCCUUUUGUUGGGAAAGAAAAGCAGCAGGUUAAUACCCCGCUGUUCUGACGGUACCCAAAGAAUAAGCACCGGCUAACUUCGUG